AUACGGUGAAUACGUUCCCGGACCUUGCACACACCGCCCGUCAAGCCAUGGAAGCCGGGUGUACCUAAAGUCGGUAACCGUAAGGAGCCGCCUAAGGUAAAACUGGUAACUGGGGCU
Molecule: ribosomal RNA, 117 nt
Filed under: uncultured bacterium
Lineage: Bacteria
Description: partial 16S ribosomal RNA
Rfam family: Bacterial small subunit ribosomal RNA
Source: RNAcentral